This is a long non-coding RNA of Mytilus californianus (California mussel), 1105 nucleotides long. RefSeq lists it as uncharacterized. Lineage: Eukaryota; Metazoa; Mollusca; Bivalvia; Mytilida; Mytilidae. The record is from RefSeq and is a predicted model, not a curated record. The transcript is spliced from 2 exons.
AAAAAAUCAAUUGUAGAACUGAAAUCAAUUGUAGCGCCCUCUAAUAUGGUUAAAAUGGUCAUGAAUGCAGUAUGUUUAUUGAUUGGUAGAACCCCAUCAUGGAAAGAGUCAAAGAAAUUACUUGGUGAUCCCAACUUAUUGAAGAAUCUUCAGACAUUCAACAAGGAUAAUAUAUCACCUGAGGUAAUAACAAAGCUACGGAAUGAAUACACAAGUGACCCAGAUUUUACUCAUGCAUUCGUAAAAAAAGUAUCAUCUGCUGCAUGUAAUUUAUGUUCAUGGGUAAUUGCUAUUGACAAAUAUGAUAGAUAUGUGAAAUCUUCUGGUGGAAAAUGAAUCAAAUUUUGACAGUGCAUAUAUGUGUGUGAGAAAAUGAACUAAACGAGAUCGUCGGGCUUAUUAUGGCACUAUUUGUUAUGUUUACUUACCAGUUACAAUUAUAGUCUUUUAUUUGUUGAUAUUACCCCUCAUCUAUUGUCGACAUCCAGUGGAGAAUUCCAAACAAGCAGGUGCCUUCAGCUUUCAAAGAGGUGUGCGUAUAUAUUUUGUCUUGAAGCUCCCUCUUUGACUCUUAGAUGAAGAACAGCAAUAAAAAGAUUUAAUCAAGUGCGUGUAUUGAUUUUAUGUUAUGAAUUUCAUGUGAACCCCUGGCCACUGGUUGACGGAAUAUAAAAAAACUCAGGGAAGGGAGGUUUAAAUGAAAGUCUAGUUAGAAUGGAUACAUCAUAUCCGCCUUUUACAUUUCAAGAGUGUGGAAUUGCUGAUGCAUUUUCCUUUAAAUUAUUAUUAUAUAUGUACUGAAAAAAUGUCAUUUACAUGAUUAAAUUCUAUAUUUAUAGAUUAUCGUUGGUUAUCUCAACGAGAUUGAUUUUCUCGCUUAAGCCGGUACGGCGAAAGCGAGAAUAGCAAUCGAGUUGAGAUGACCAAUGGUAAUCUGUUUAUCGCAAUUUUACCUAUGAAGACGUUGUUAAUUUCUUUGACAACGGCACGUGUUCCCUUAGUUUCUAGCGAUAAUUUUCAUAUCACUCGACUCCGCUGAAGACGGAAAUUAUCAGUCAGCAAGAUCAAAGGAAAAAUUCGUAAAAUAGCGAUAAAUAUAUAUAUU